RNAcentral lists this microRNA precursor (122 nucleotides) under Phaseolus vulgaris (common bean). RNAcentral describes it as "pre miRNA mir-395". It matches the Rfam family "mir-395 microRNA precursor family". Rfam says of the family: mir-395 was identified in both Arabidopsis thaliana and Oryza sativa computationally and was later experimentally verified. mir-395 is thought to target mRNAs coding for ATP sulphurylases. The mature sequence is excised from the 3' arm of the hairpin. The record is from Rfam by way of RNAcentral. Lineage: Eukaryota; Viridiplantae; Streptophyta; Magnoliopsida; Fabales; Fabaceae.
UUGUCUCCUGGAGUUCCUCUGAGCACUUCACACUUGGGGCUAUAGUUCUAUUCAUUGUUACCCUUUAGAUUGAAUAGUUCUUAUCAACUAAGUGAAGUGUUUGGGGGAACUUUUGGGUGCAA